GGCGGUAUGCUUAACACAUGCAAGUCGAACGGCAGCAUGGUGUGUAGCAAUACACACUGAUGGCGAGUGGCGGACGGGUGAGGAACACGUAGGAAUCUGCCCUAUAGAGGGGGACAACCGGAGGAAACUCCGGCUAAUACCGCAUAAUACUCUUCGGAGGAAAUGCUGGGUGGUAACACCUGGCGCUAUAGGAGGAGCCUGCGUCCGAUUAGCUAGUUGGUUAGGUAAAGGCUGACCAAGGCGAUGAUCGGUAGCUGGUCUGAGAGGACGACCAGCCACACUGGGACUGAGACACGGCCCAGACUCCUACGGGAGGCAGCAGUGGGGAAUAUUGGACAAUGGGGGCAACCCUGAUCCAGCAAUACCGCGUGUGUGAAGAAGGCCUUCGGGUUGUAAAGCACUUUAGUUGGGGAAGAAGGCUAGUAGUUUAAGAGAUGAUUAGUUUGACUGUACCCAAAGAAUAAGCACCGGCUAACUCUGUGCCAGCAGCCGCGGUAAUACAGA
RNAcentral lists this ribosomal RNA (504 nucleotides) under uncultured Gammaproteobacteria bacterium. RNAcentral's name for it is "bacterial SSU rRNA". It matches the Rfam family "Bacterial small subunit ribosomal RNA", at positions 38 to 529 of the family's 1533-position model. Lineage: Bacteria; Pseudomonadati; Pseudomonadota; Gammaproteobacteria. The record is from RNAcentral.